AAAACAUAAUACCCCUAAAUCGAUUUGGUGGGAAAUAUCAAGAUCUUUUUGUAGAAAAUAAAAUAGAUCUUGGCACUGAUUAGUAAAUUACACAAUAAUUAGAUCUACAUCUAGAAGGGGUUCUCUCAACAUGGAGACAGGAAUAAGACAGACACAGGGACAAAGAUACCAACAAUGUUCUAGAACACUGCAAUCAACUGAUUUACAACCCUCUGUAUUCAAGUGGCUAGAGUACUACCAUGUGUUUUGUGCUUAUGGGUUU
Physella acuta is the source of this 262-nucleotide long non-coding RNA. RefSeq lists it as uncharacterized. NCBI's taxonomy places the organism in Eukaryota, Metazoa, Mollusca, Gastropoda, Physidae. The record is from RefSeq and is a predicted model, not a curated record.